Molecule: ribosomal RNA, 246 nt
Filed under: Triticum aestivum (bread wheat)
Lineage: Eukaryota; Viridiplantae; Streptophyta; Magnoliopsida; Poales; Poaceae
Description: partial small subunit ribosomal RNA
Source: RNAcentral
CUUAGUGGGAGCCAUUAUAAAUGGAUCUGGAGAGGUAAACUGCCUCUCAAGAUUAAGAUCUUUCUUUGGCAAGUUUCACAGGAUGCUGUGCUUACCAAACAAGUGAUGCGUAGAAAAAAAUGGCCAGGCAAUCCCAGUUGCUCUUUUUGCAAGGAUGUUGAGAGCUCUCAGCAUCUGUUCUUUACUUGCCCCGUUGCUAAGUGUGUAUGGCGCUCCAUUGGGGUGACCUUGGGGACUGAUUAUUGA